This 301-nucleotide ribosomal RNA is filed under the name uncultured bacterium. RNAcentral's name for it is "partial 16S ribosomal RNA". It matches the Rfam family "Bacterial small subunit ribosomal RNA", at positions 509 to 807 of the family's 1533-position model. The record is from RNAcentral.
CAGUCGCCGCGGUAAUACAGAGGAUGCAAGCGUUAUCCGGAAUGAUUGGGUGUAAAGCGUCUGUAGGUGGCUUUUCAAGUCCGCCAUCAAAUCCCCGGGCUCAACCCCGGACAGGCAGUGGAAACUACCAAGCUGGAGUACGGUAGGGGCAGAGGGAAUUUCCGGUGGAGAGGUGAAAUGCGUUGAGAUUGGAAAGAACACCAACGGUGAAAGCGCUCUGCUGGGCCGACACUGACACUGAGAGACGAAAUCUAGGGGAGCAAAUGGGAUUAGAUACCCCUGUAGUCCCUGUCUCUUAUAC